Molecule: ribosomal RNA, 301 nt
Filed under: uncultured bacterium
Lineage: Bacteria
Description: partial 16S ribosomal RNA
Rfam family: Bacterial small subunit ribosomal RNA
Source: RNAcentral
CAGUCGCCACGGUAAAACGGAGGGUGCAAGCGUUAAUCGGAAUUACUGGGCGUAAAGCGCACGCAGGCGGUCUGACAAGUCAGAUGUGAAAUCCCCGGGCUUAACCUGGGAACUGCAUUUGAAACUGUCAGGCUGGAGUCUUGUAGAGGGGGGUAGAAUUCCAGGUGUAGCGGUGAAAUGCGUAGAGAUCUGGAGGAAUACCGGUGGCGAAGGCGGCCCCCUGGACAAAGACUGACGCUCAGGUGCGAAAGCGUGGGGAGCAAACAGGAUUAGAUACCCCGGUAGUCCCUGUCUCUUAUAC